RNAcentral lists this ribosomal RNA (252 nucleotides) under uncultured bacterium. RNAcentral describes it as "partial 16S ribosomal RNA". It matches the Rfam family "Bacterial small subunit ribosomal RNA", at positions 524 to 776 of the family's 1533-position model. The record is from RNAcentral.
UACGGAGGAUGCGAGCGUUAUCCGGAUUUAUUGGGUUUAAAGGGUGCGCGGGCGGCACGGCAAGCCGGCGGUCAAAUCGCGGGGCUCAACCCCGCCCAGCCGUCGGAACUGCCGGGCUAGAGUGGGCGAGAAGUGCGCGGAAUGCGUGGUGUAGCGGUGAAAUGCACAGAUAUCACGCAGAACUCCGAUUGCGAAGGCAGCGCACCGGCGCCCUACUGACGCUCAGGCACGAAAGCGUGGGUAUCGAACAGG